GAUGAACGCUAGCGGUAGGCUUAACACAUGCAAGUCGAGGGGCAGCACAGGUAGCAAUACUGGGUGGCGACCGGCGCACGGGUGCGUAACGCGUAUACAAUUUACCUUUUACUAGGGGAUAGCCCAGAGAAAUUUGGAUUAAUACCCUAUAGUAUUAUCGGAUCGCAUGGAUUGGUAAUUAAAGUUUCGGCGGUAAGAGAUGAGGAUGCGUCCUAUUAGGUAGAUGGUAAGGUAACGGCUUACCAUGGCUAUGAUAGGUAGGGGUCCUGAGAGGGAGAUCCCCCACACUGGUACUGAGACACGGACCAGACUCCUACGGGAGGCAGCAGUGAGGAAUAUUGGUCAAUGGGCGCAAGCCUGAACCAGCCAUGCCGCGUGCAGGAUGACUGCCCUAUGGGUUGUAAACUGCUUUUUUACAGGAAGAAACCCUACCAUGCGUGGUAGAUUGACGGUACUGUAGGAAUAAGCACCGGCUAACUCCGUGCCAGCCGCCGCGGUAAUAC
Molecule: ribosomal RNA, 503 nt
Filed under: uncultured bacterium
Lineage: Bacteria
Description: bacterial SSU rRNA
Rfam family: Bacterial small subunit ribosomal RNA
Source: RNAcentral